AGAGCGAACGCUGGCGGCAGGCCUAAUACAUGCAAGUCGAACGGAUCCUUCGGGAUUAGUGGCGGACGGGUGAGUAACACGUGACCAACCAACCUCGAAGUUGGGAAUAGCUCUGCGAAAGUAGGGGUAAUACCGAAUGUGGCCCAGGGCGGGCAUCCGCCUUGGUCUAAAGAUUCAUCGCUUCGAGACGGGGUCGCGGCCUAUUAGCUUGUUGGUGAGGUAACGGCUCACCAAGGCGAUGAUGGGUAGCUGGUCUGAGAGGACGACCAGCCACACUGGGACUGAGACACGGCCCAGACUCCUACGGGAGGCAGCAGUGAGGAAUCUUCCGCAAUGGGCGAAAGCCUGACGGAGCAACGCCGCGUGUGGGAUGAAGACUCUAGGGUUGUAAACCACUGUCGGAGGGGACGAUCGUGACGGUACCCUCAAGAAGCCCCGGCUAACUACGCGCCAGCAGCCGC
Molecule: ribosomal RNA, 461 nt
Filed under: uncultured bacterium
Lineage: Bacteria
Description: SSU rRNA
Rfam family: Bacterial small subunit ribosomal RNA
Source: RNAcentral